Molecule: non-coding RNA, 117 nt
Organism: Gorilla gorilla gorilla (western lowland gorilla)
Lineage: Eukaryota; Metazoa; Chordata; Mammalia; Primates; Hominidae
Rfam family: Metazoan signal recognition particle RNA
About the family: The signal recognition particle (SRP) is a universally conserved ribonucleoprotein. It is involved in the co-translational targeting of proteins to membranes.
Source: Rfam
GCCAGGUGCGGUGCCUCACAUCUGUAAUCCCAACACUUUGGGAGGCUGAGAUGGGUGGAUUGCUUGAGCCCAGGAGUUCAAGACCAGCCUGGGCAACACAGCGAGACCCCAUCUCUU